ACAUCAGCCGCCGCGGGAAUACGUAGGUGGCAAGCGUUGUCCGGAAUUAUUGGGCGUAAAGGGCUCGCAGGCGGUUUCUUAAGUCUGAUGUGAAAGCCCCCGGCUCAACCGGGGAGGGUCAUUGGAAACUGGGAAACUUGAGUGCAGAAGAGGAGAGUGGAAUUCCACGUGUAGCGGUGAAAUGCGUAGAGAUGUGGAGGAACACCAGUGGCGAAGGCGACUCUCUGGUCUGUAACUGACGCUGAGGAGCGAAAGCGUGGGGAGCGAACAGGAUUAGAUACCCCAGUAGUCCCUGUCUCUUAUAC
Molecule: ribosomal RNA, 305 nt
Filed under: uncultured bacterium
Lineage: Bacteria
Description: partial 16S ribosomal RNA
Rfam family: Bacterial small subunit ribosomal RNA
Source: RNAcentral